RNAcentral lists this ribosomal RNA (542 nucleotides) under uncultured bacterium. RNAcentral describes it as "bacterial SSU rRNA". It matches the Rfam family "Bacterial small subunit ribosomal RNA", at positions 775 to 1318 of the family's 1533-position model. The record is from RNAcentral.
AGUCAAUAGAUACCCGGGUAGUCCACGCCCUAAACGAUGUCAACUGGUUGUUGGGAAGGUUCCUUCUCAGUAAACGUAGCUAAACGCGUGAAAGUUGACCGCCUGGGGAGUACGGCCGCAAGGUUGAAACUCAAAGGGAUUGACGGGGACCCGCACAAGCGGUGGAUGAUGUGGUUUAAUUCGAUGCAACGCGAAAAACCUUACCUACCCUUGACAUGCCUGGAAUCCUGCAGAGAUGUGGGAGUGCUCGAAAGAGAGCCAGGACACAGGUGCUGCACGGCCGUCGUCAGCUCGUGUCGUGAGAUGUUGGGUUAAGUCCCGCAACGAGCGCAACCCUUGUCAUUAGUUGCUACGAAAGGGCACUCUAAUGAGACUGCCGGUGACAAACCGGAGGAAGGUGGGGAUGACGUCAGGUCCUCAUGGCCCUUAUGGGUAGGGCUACACACGUCAUACAAUGGCCGGUACAGAGGGCUGCCAACCCGCGAGGGGAGCCAAUCCCAGAAAACCGGUCGUAGUCCGGAUCGCAGUCUGCAACUCGACUG